UGGUGACCAGCGGAGGGACAUUAAAGAGUUCUAUAACUCCCAAACCCAUGUGAACAUACCUAACGUUGCCUCGGCAGGUCGCACCUACCUUGUAGCACCCUACCCUGUAGGGCCUACCCGGGAGGUGCGGGUAAGCCUGCCGGCGGCCCACCAAACUCUGUUUGAUAUUGAAUUCUGAACCUAUAACUAAAUAAGUUAAAACUUUCAACAACGGAUCUCUUGGUUCUGGCAUCGAUGAAGAACGCAGCGAAAUGCGAUAAGUAAUGUGAAUUGCAGAAUUCAGUGAAUCAUCGAAUCUUUGAACGCAUAUUGCGCCCAUUAGUAUUCUAGUGGGCAGGACCGUUCGAGCGUCAUUUCAACCCUUAAGCCUUCGUUGCUUAGUGUUGGGAGCCUACGGCAACGUAGCUCCUCAAAGUUAGUGGCGGAGUUGGUUCACACUCUAGACGUAGUAAUUUUUUAUCUCGCCUAUUAGUUGGACUAAUCCCCUGCCGUAAAACCCCCAAUUUAUCAAGGUUGACCUCGAAUCGGUUCAGACAAACUCGCUAAAU
This 548-nucleotide ribosomal RNA is filed under the name fungal endophyte. RNAcentral describes it as "eukaryotic LSU rRNA". The stretch from base 200 to 353 matches the Rfam family "5.8S ribosomal RNA". The record is from RNAcentral. Lineage: Eukaryota; Fungi.